UACGUAGGGGGCUAGCGUUGUCCGGAAUCAUUGGGCGUAAAGAGCGCGUAGGCGGCUCGGUAAGUCCGCUGUGAAAGCCCAGGGCUCAACCCUGGAAUGCCAGUGGAAACUGUCGAGCUAGAGUCCGGAAGAGGCGAGUGGAAUUCCUGGUGUAGCGGUGAAAUGCGCAGAUAUCAGGAGGAACACCAAUGGCGAAGGCAGCUCGCUGGAGCGUUACUGACGCUGAGGCGCGAAAGCGUGGGGAGCGAACAGG
RNAcentral lists this ribosomal RNA (253 nucleotides) under uncultured bacterium. RNAcentral describes it as "partial 16S ribosomal RNA". It matches the Rfam family "Bacterial small subunit ribosomal RNA", at positions 524 to 776 of the family's 1533-position model. The record is from RNAcentral.